RNAcentral lists this ribosomal RNA (425 nucleotides) under uncultured bacterium. RNAcentral describes it as "partial 16S ribosomal RNA". It matches the Rfam family "Bacterial small subunit ribosomal RNA", at positions 354 to 796 of the family's 1533-position model. The record is from RNAcentral.
GUGGGGAAUAUUGGGCAAUGGGCGAAAGCCUGACCCAGCAACGCCGCGUGAAGGAAGAAGGUUUUCGGAUCGUAAACUUCUAUCCUUGGUGAAGAUAAUGACGGUAGCCAAGAAGGAAGCCCCGGCUAACUACGUGCCAGCAGCCGCGGUAAUACGUAGGGGGCAAGCGUUGUCCGGAAUGAUUGGGCGUAAAGGGCGCGUAGGCGGCCCGGUAAGUCUGAAGUGAAAGUCCUGCUUUUAAGGUGGGAAUUGCUUUGGAUACUGUCGGGCUUGAGUGCAGGAGAGGUAAGCGGAAUUCCCGGUGUAGCGGUGAAAUGCGUAGAGAGCGGGAGGAACACCAGUGGCGAAGGCGGCUUACUGGACUGUAACUGACGCUGAGGCGCGAAAGUGUGGGGAGCAAACAGGAUUAGAAACCCCGGUAGUCC